GAUGAACGCUGGCGGCGUGCCUAAUACAUGCAAGUCGAGCGAACGGACGAGAAGCUUGCUUUUCUGAUGUUAGCGGCGGACGGGUGAGUAACACGUGGAUAACCUACCUAUAAGACUGGGAUAACUUCGGGAAACCGGAGCUAAUACCGGAUAAUAUUUUGAACCGCAUGGUUCAAAAGUGAAAGACGGUCUUGCUGUCACUUAUAGAUGGAUCCGCGCUGCAUUAGCUAGUUGGUAAGGUAACGGCUUACCAAGGCAACGAUGCAUAGCCGACCUGAGAGGGUGAUCGGCCACACUGGAACUGAGACACGGUCCAGACGCCUACGGGAGGCAGCAGUCGGGAAUCUUCCGCAAUGGGCGAAAGCCUGACGGAGCAACGCCGCGUGAGUGAUGAAGGUCUUCGGAUCGUAAAACUCUGUUAUUAGGGAAGAACAUAUGUGUACGUAACUGUGCACAUCUUGACGGUACCUAAUCAGAAAGCCACGGCUAACUACGUG
Molecule: ribosomal RNA, 497 nt
Filed under: uncultured bacterium
Lineage: Bacteria
Description: partial 16S ribosomal RNA
Rfam family: Bacterial small subunit ribosomal RNA
Source: RNAcentral